RNAcentral lists this ribosomal RNA (490 nucleotides) under uncultured bacterium. RNAcentral's name for it is "partial 16S ribosomal RNA". It matches the Rfam family "Bacterial small subunit ribosomal RNA", at positions 30 to 507 of the family's 1533-position model. The record is from RNAcentral.
AUUGAACGCUGGCGGCAUGCCUUACACAUGCAAGUCGAACGGCAGCAUGAUCUAGCUUGCUAGAUUGAUGGCGAGUGGCGAACGGGUGAGUAAUACAUCGGAACGUGCCCUGUAGGGGGGGAUAACUAGUCGAAAGAUUAGCUAAUACCGCAUACGACCUGAGGGUGAAAGGGGGGGACCGCAAGGCCUCAUGCUAUAGGAGCGGCCGAGGUCUGAUUAGCUAGUUGGUGGGGUAAAGGCCCACCAAGGCGACGAUCAGUAGCUGGUCUGAGAGGACGAUCAGCCACACUGGGACUGAGACACGGCCAAGACUCCUACGGGAGGCAGCAGUGGGGAAUUUUGGACAAUGGGGGCAACCCUGAUCCAGCAAUGCCGCGUGUGUGAAGAAGGCCUUCGGGUUGUAAAGCACUUUUGUCCGGAAAGAAAUCGCACUUACUAAUAUUAGGUGUGGAUGACGGUACCGGAAGAAUAAGGACCGGCUAACUACGUG